This 366-nucleotide small RNA is filed under the name Pan troglodytes (chimpanzee). RNAcentral describes it as "retained intron". The record is from RNAcentral. Lineage: Eukaryota; Metazoa; Chordata; Mammalia; Primates; Hominidae.
ACAGCAGUCUCUCUUCUUGCAGUGCCAUGGAGAAGGGGAAAUUGCACAAGCCAGGAAAGGACGCGUCGAAGCGCGGGCGGCAGACGCCAGUGCUGUAUGCAAUGCUGGACCACAGCAGAAGCACCAAAGCUGUCAGUGAGAAGAAGGCCAAGGGGCUGGGGGAGUCUCGCAAGGAUAAGAAAUAGCGGUUAGCGGGCCGGGCGGGGGAUCGGGGGUUAGGGGUGGAGUCCGCCAAAGGCCCAAAGGUGAUGGUCAUCGAGAUGGAGCUACGAAAGGAUGAGCAGAGCUCGGAGCUCCGGCCUGCUGUCAAGUCCCCCAGCAGAACCAGCCUCAAAAACGCCCUCAAGAACAUGAUGGGCCUGAACU